RNAcentral lists this transfer RNA (57 nucleotides) under Apaloderma vittatum (bar-tailed trogon). It matches the Rfam family "tRNA", at positions 9 to 63 of the family's 71-position model. From Rfam's summary of the family: Transfer RNA (tRNA) molecules are approximately 80 nucleotides in length. The record is from Rfam by way of RNAcentral. Lineage: Eukaryota; Metazoa; Chordata; Aves; Trogoniformes; Trogonidae.
AGCUCAGUGGGUUGAGCUCGGUGCUGAAAACACUGAGGUCCUGGGUUCAAUUCCCAU